CUUAGGGGGAAAAGGAAAACUCCUUUGCUCAUUUCUGAUUUCAUUCCACAGAAAACCUUUUUCUUUCUAAGUGUCAAACCCUAACUCUACUCCACCUUCUCUCUUCUUUUUUAGAAAUUUGAACCGUACAAAAUUUCAUUUAGUUCCUUCAAAUUGUUCCUGGCAUCGAGGGCUUCCGUUCGAACCCACCAUCUCACUGUUUCAUCGAGUCUCUCGGUGCCCUAAUUGCUAGGAAUACUUUAGAAGCGUUGAGUGAGCUUGUUGUUGCUUGUUUCCAGAGGAGAAUGAGCCCACGUUGGAGGAUGUCCUGGAAGAUUCUGAAAACACAGAUGUUGCUGCCUAGACCUUUAGGGAUUUUAUUUUGCUCUUCCUAUGUUCUGUAUUUUUGAAAUACUUAGAGUUCCUUCCACGUUUUUAAAUUUCCUCUUGUUUCUGGAUUACUGUAAUCACAACCUGAUUAACUUUCCUGCUCUUAAACUGCUCUCUUUUAUUAUCUAUGUGAACA
Molecule: long non-coding RNA, 505 nt
Organism: Vigna radiata var. radiata (mung bean)
Lineage: Eukaryota; Viridiplantae; Streptophyta; Magnoliopsida; Fabales; Fabaceae
Exons: 3
Source: RefSeq, a predicted model, not a curated record